AGUCACCUCAAUCACCACACUUGCCAUUGUGAUUUUACAUGGUUAGUGUUAUUUCUUACAGGUAAUGCUGUUUUGUCCGGAAAGUUGCUGACCUUGUAGCCCAGCCAAUAUUUUGGUGAAGAAGUAGAAGUUCCUGGAUGAAGGCUUGUGGUCAAGAAUGGAACUGAAGGCUUGCCUCAACAUCUUGGCAUAAAAAAAAGUAAGCCAUUGUCUGGAAGCCCCUGUCAACAACCAAUGGGUUAAUACUUUUAAAUGAAUUUCAU
Molecule: long non-coding RNA, 263 nt
Filed under: Sus scrofa (pig)
Lineage: Eukaryota; Metazoa; Chordata; Mammalia; Artiodactyla; Suidae
Description: lncRNA (ENSSSCG00040045150.1)
Source: RNAcentral